Molecule: long non-coding RNA, 734 nt
Filed under: Mytilus galloprovincialis (Mediterranean mussel)
Lineage: Eukaryota; Metazoa; Mollusca; Bivalvia; Mytilida; Mytilidae
Source: RNAcentral
CCCGAAAUUCGAAAAAAGAUUUUUCCGAUUCCGAAAGGGUCAAUCUUGAAAUCCCGAGCUUAAAAACACCCGAUCCCGUUGUCCCGAUAAAGAUCCACCCCCUCUUUUAUUGUUACCGUAGAGAAAAAAAUCGUAAUUUUUAAAAUGUGAUAUUCAUUUUAUCAUUAAAAUGAUACUUGUCUUACAAAUUGGGCUUAUUGAAAUGUUGAAUGGUUUUUGUUUAGGUUUUUACUGGGAACAGUACAUUUAUAUCAUAAUAUUUAGUCUUUAUGUCAAUUGACAAAUGAUUCAGUUCAUAUUUUUGAAAAACACUACUACGUAAUAGUACGGAAGAGGCUGACAUCUGGUGAUUUUUAAGUGAAUUGUUUUAUCGUGGAGAAACAUCUUUUUGUUUUGUUGUAACUGAUUAUUGUAUGGUGCAUGUAUGUUUAAAAAAUCGAAAAGGACAUCAGUAAACUUGAAAAAUAUCAAGCCAUAAAACCCUGUUGCACAAUAUACCAGCAAAUGACAUUAUACUGCCCCCGGGAAUAAACGAACUGGUCAACGGAUUUCAACCAGGUAAAUGUACAUGUACAGGUAUUCAGCUGAUCAAUACCCGAAUAUGUCAUCGUAAACAAUUUCCAAAAUAAAUUCUCACGGUUGUAAGAAUAUUAUAAAUACCCGUAAAUGUAACAAUUGGCAACACAUAUAAAAUACAGAUUUAUUUUUGGCAGAAUUUACUUACCAUUUUUUUU